This 607-nucleotide ribosomal RNA is filed under the name Mycocepurus smithi symbiont T42B. RNAcentral's name for it is "eukaryotic LSU rRNA". It matches the Rfam family "Eukaryotic large subunit ribosomal RNA", at positions 52 to 642 of the family's 3401-position model. Lineage: Eukaryota; Fungi; Basidiomycota; Agaricomycetes; Agaricales; Agaricaceae. The record is from RNAcentral.
GGAGGAAAAGAACUAACAAGGAUUCCCCUAGUAACUGCGAGUGAAGCGGGAAAAGCUCAAAUUUAAAAUCUGGCAGUCUCUGGCUGUCCGAGUUGUAAUCUAGAGAAGUGCUGCCCGCGCUGGACCGUGUACAAGUCUCCUGGGAUGGAGCGUCAUAGAGGGUGAGAAUCCCGUCUCUGACACGGACUACCAGGGCUUUGUGGUACGCUCUCAAAGAGUCGAGUUGUUUGGGAAUGCAGCUCAAAAUGGGUGGUAAAUUCCAUCUAAAGCUAAAUAUUGGCGAGAGACCGAUAGCGAACAAGUACCGUGAGGGAAAGAUGAAAAGAACUUUGGAAAGAGAGUUAAACAGUACGUGAAAUUGCUGAAAGGGAAACGCUUGAAGUCAGUCACGUUGGCUGGGGAUCAGCCUCGCUCUUUUGCGUGGUGUAUUUCCUGGUUGACGGGUCAGCAUCAAUUUUGACCGCUGGAAAAAGGCUUGAGGAAUGUGGCAGCUCCGGCUGUGUUAUAGCUUCUUGUCACAUACAGCGGUUGGAAUUGAGGAACUCAGCACGCCGCAAGGCCGGGUUUCGACCACGUUCGUGCUUAGGAUGCUGGCAUAAUGGCUUUA